AACAACUGAAUCUUUUGGAACUGCGAUAUCAUCAGUACUAUUUUAGGGAGUUAUAUCGAAUGGGUUGUUAUGGUUACUCAUAAAGAAGCAACCAUAUAAACACAGAAUUCAAAAUAUACUAAUAUAAGUAUUUUAGAACAUGAAAUUAAAAUAAAAAUAAAAACAAAAGGAAAAGAAAAACAAAGUAAAAUAAAUGGACUCAAAAGUUCUCAUCGGCAUCUGGAUGGUGAGGUGGUGGUGCUAGAGGCGAAAU
Molecule: long non-coding RNA, 253 nt
Filed under: Gossypium barbadense (sea-island cotton)
Lineage: Eukaryota; Viridiplantae; Streptophyta; Magnoliopsida; Malvales; Malvaceae
Description: long non-coding RNA (GBAR_LNC006898)
Source: RNAcentral